GCUCUGAGCAGGCCGACAGUCAUAGACGAGUAGACCUUAGGCGAGGGAAGGCAUGUACUUUCCCUAAGAAGCGGGAGGAGAGAAAUAAAUAGAGGGCAGUGGGAUGAGAAGAACCUCGCGGGAUGGGAAGCCGCGGAGGGAAGGGCCGUCUUUGGUUACCUGGAGAGCGGGAGCAGCUGCGGAUCCCUUAUGAAGUGCCCGGAUGAAGCUCCAGCGCUCACGCGCUUUCCGCAUUGAGUGCAGCGCCAUCUUGAGAAGGGCGGAGCCGUCUUGUUUGGAAUGACGUCUGUUCAGAGAGCCAAUCCCAGUCUCGCGACUCCUGCUUGCUGGGCGCGGCUUGGGCCUCCAGGCUGCGCAGCGCAGCCGCUAUCGGGCGGACUGCAGUUCUUGCCGAGCAGCUACUGAAAAUUACCAAGGAGAGGUAGGAGAUAAGAGAUGCCUAUAAAGGAGCUGAAAUCUACCAGGUCGCAAUGAUUUGUAUGACAGCUGCUAGCCCAAGAGAGAGUUCCAGAAGAGGGCUACCUAACAGGUGCUGUGGCAUUUAGAAGAGGAAUGGAGCCAUUGUCAACGCACAGCUUGCAGGGGAGCAGGAGAGUCAGUCUAAGAAGGAAAUGUGAUGAUGGAAACAGAGGUUGGAAGAUGGAAGAGGACCCAGAGUCAAGGAAUGCAGGUAGAAAAGAAAAGCCUGGAUUCUCCCCUAAAGCCUCCAGAUGGAACACAGCCCUGCCUCCACCUUGAUUUCAGGACUUCUUACCCCAAGAAUCGUGUCUGUCUUCAUCCUAAGGAGUCAACUGCUAUACCUUAGUGAUUUCAAUGUAAUUGUUUGGUCUGUAAGUCAUUCUUGCCACUGUGGUUCUGGGGCCAUUGUUCUGCAACGAUGAAUAAACAAUGUUUUAGAAAUCACUCAUCCAAGAAAGGUGACAAGAUACUGGAAUAGAGGUAUUUGAAAAAUAUUCAUGGGAAUUUUAGAGGAUUGUAGAUGGUCUGAAUACCUGUGAAGACAUCAUCUAAUGUAUCUAAAAACCACAUAAUGCUUCAUCUCAAUGUAUUUUAAGAAUUAAUUUUGUUAUAAGCUAGAAUUUUUCAUUUUGGUUUUAAUAAUAACAUCAAAAGGAUUUUUUAACAUAAAUUAGAAAGGGCAUACAUGGAGAAGUAAAGAAGAAUUCUUCUUGGGAUUAGCCAAAAAUUAGUGAGAGAUUACAUAUUUCCUUAGAUGAAAAAUCCUACAGGCAAACUUUUAAUGUCAGGGAGAGGAAUACUUUAUUACCUAAUAAUGUAGAUGAAAAGAAUAGCUAAGCAUUCUUUUUUAAAGCAGUAUACAGAAAUGAGGGAAAGGCUAAGAGGUUAACUCAUUUCUAUUUUGAACUCUAUUUUUUUUAAAACCCUUGCUCCAAAUUUUACUUACUAUCUUUUAAAUGUCAUCCUGCUAGAGUGUAAGUCUUUAGUUUUAGUUGCUUAAUAAAAAUUAAUUUUUUGUGACAAAAG
RNAcentral lists this long non-coding RNA (1485 nucleotides) under Homo sapiens (human). RNAcentral describes it as "HSALNT0294981". The record is from RNAcentral. Lineage: Eukaryota; Metazoa; Chordata; Mammalia; Primates; Hominidae.